AUUGAACGCUGGCGGCAGGCCUAACACAUGCAAGUCGAGCGGAUGAAGGGAGCUUGCUCCUGGAUUCAGCGGCGGACGGGUGAGUAAUGCCUAGGAAUCUGCCUGGUAGUGGGGGAUAACGUCCGGAAACGGGCGCUAAUACCGCAUACGUCCUGAGGGAGAAAGUGGGGGAUCUUCGGACCUCACGCUAUCAGAUGAGCCUAGGUCGGAUUAGCUAGUUGGUGGGGUAAAGGCCUACCAAGGCGACGAUCCGUAACUGGUCUGAGAGGAUGAUCAGUCACACUGGAACUGAGACACGGUCCAGACUCCUACGGGAGGCAGCAGUGGGGAAUAUUGGACAAUGGGCGAAAGCCUGAUCCAGCCAUGCCGCGUGUGUGAAGAAGGUCUUCGGAUUGUAAAGCACUUUAAGUUGGGAGGAAGGGCAGUAAGUUAAUACCUGGCUGUUUUGACGGUACCAACAGAAUAAGCACCGGCUAACUUCGUG
This 484-nucleotide ribosomal RNA is filed under the name uncultured bacterium. RNAcentral describes it as "partial 16S ribosomal RNA". It matches the Rfam family "Bacterial small subunit ribosomal RNA", at positions 30 to 507 of the family's 1533-position model. The record is from RNAcentral.